Molecule: transfer RNA, 71 nt
Filed under: Phrynosoma platyrhinos (Desert horned lizard)
Lineage: Eukaryota; Metazoa; Chordata; Lepidosauria; Squamata; Phrynosomatidae
Description: tRNA-OTHER
Source: RNAcentral
CCUAGCAUGGCACAGUGGUUUGAGUUUUGGACUCUGACUCUGGAGACCAGGGUUCGAUUCCCAGGUCAGCC